CUCGAUUCGUUAGAACAACUUCCAUUGAGUCUCUGCACCUAUCCUUUCCCUUUGUAUUCUAGUUCGAGAACCCCUUGUUUUCUCAAAACACAGAUUUGGCUCAGGAUUGCCCUUUUUAGUUCUAGGGUUUCUCUGAAUUUGGAAGUUACCACUUAG
RNAcentral lists this ribosomal RNA (156 nucleotides) under Triticum aestivum (bread wheat). Its description in RNAcentral is "partial small subunit ribosomal RNA". The record is from RNAcentral. Lineage: Eukaryota; Viridiplantae; Streptophyta; Magnoliopsida; Poales; Poaceae.